CCCUGAAUGACCGCAUGGAGCAGAGUCUUUCUGCCGACUGGAAUUACCACUCCACAUUCCUGUGAGAGAGAAACAAGUGUUUUCCUCAUGAGAUUCUUGAGUUUUGGAUGUUUCUGUGCCAACACAGCUAACCCUGGCCCAACAUACAAGAUUCAGUGCCUGCGUCAUAGAAGGGUCCGUGUCAGUAAGGAAGUGAAAAGCAAGAUGGAAUACUGGAACUCUCCUGGCAGAUUGUCUGAAGUCAAUGUGUUUUCUGGUUAUGUGUUUCAGCUGCGAGUUUUUCAAAUUGUUGCAAAUCUUCAAACAUUUUUCCAACAAAUUUACUGAAAAAAAUCCACAUAUAAGUGGCACCCCCACCAGUUUAAACCUGUGUUGUUCAAGAGUCAGCUAUUUUUAUGAGGUGUUUUCAAAAGUUUAUGGAAAAUGAAUCUUAUGAAUAAAACUAUGCAUGGA
RNAcentral lists this long non-coding RNA (453 nucleotides) under Homo sapiens (human). RNAcentral's name for it is "HSALNT0371846". Lineage: Eukaryota; Metazoa; Chordata; Mammalia; Primates; Hominidae. The record is from RNAcentral.